UGAGGAAUAUUGGUCAAUGGGCGCGAGCCUGAACCAGCCAAGUAGCGUGCAGGAUGACGGCCCUAUGGGUUGUAAACUGCUUUUGUAUGGGGAUAAAGUCAAUCACGUGUGAUUGUUUGCAGGUACCAUACGAAUAAGGACCGGCUAAUUCCGUGCCAGCAGCCGCGGUAAUACGGAAGGUCCGGGCGUUAUCCGGAUUUAUUGGGUUUAAAGGGAGCGUAGGCCGGAGAUUAAGUGUGUUGUGAAAUGUAGACGCUCAACGUCUGACUUGCAGCGCAUACUGGUUUCCUUGAGUACGCACAACGUUGGCGGAAUUCGUCGUGUAGCGGUGAAAUGCUUAGAUAUGACGAAGAACUCCGAUUGCGAAGGCAGCUGACGGGAGCGCAACUGACGCUUAAGCUCGAAGGUGCGGGUAUCGAACAGGAUUAGAUACCCUGGUAGUCCGCACAGUAAACGAUGGAUGCCCGCUGUUGGUACCUGGUAUCAGCGGCUAAGCGAAAGCAUUAAGCAUCCCACCUGGGGAGUACGCCGGCNCGGU
This 538-nucleotide ribosomal RNA is filed under the name uncultured bacterium. Its description in RNAcentral is "bacterial SSU rRNA". It matches the Rfam family "Bacterial small subunit ribosomal RNA", at positions 355 to 895 of the family's 1533-position model. The record is from RNAcentral.